RNAcentral lists this microRNA precursor (200 nucleotides) under Oryza sativa (Asian cultivated rice). RNAcentral's name for it is "precursor microRNA 159b". It matches the Rfam family "MIR159 microRNA precursor family". Lineage: Eukaryota; Viridiplantae; Streptophyta; Magnoliopsida; Poales; Poaceae. The record is from RNAcentral.
UUGGUUAUGAAGUGGAGCUCCUUUCGUUCCAAUGAAAGGUUUAUCUGAAGGGUGAUACAGCUGCUUGUUCAUGGUUCCCACUAUUCUAUCUCAUAGGAAAAGAGAUAGGCUUGUGGUUUGCAUGACCAAGGAGCCGAAUCAACUCCUUGCUGACCACUCUUUGGAUUGAAGGGAGCUCUGCAUCUUGAUCCCAUAUAGUA